AGGGGGGCUGCUCCUAGUACGAGAGGACCGGAGUGGACGCAUCACUGGUGUUCGGGUUGUCAUGCCAAUGGCACUGCCCGGUAGCUAAAUGCGGAAGAGAUAAGUGCUGAAAGCAUCUAAGCACGAAACUUGCCCCGAGAUGAGUUCUCCCUGAGACUUUAAGUCUCCUGAAGGAACGUUGAAGACGACGACGUUGAUAGGUCGGGUGUGUAAGCGCAGCGAUGCGUUGAGCUAACCGAUACUAAUGAACCGUGAGGCUUAACCUU
This 266-nucleotide ribosomal RNA is filed under the name Enterobacter hormaechei. RNAcentral's name for it is "partial 23S ribosomal RNA". It matches the Rfam family "Bacterial large subunit ribosomal RNA", at positions 2665 to 2925 of the family's 2925-position model. Lineage: Bacteria; Pseudomonadati; Pseudomonadota; Gammaproteobacteria; Enterobacterales; Enterobacteriaceae. The record is from RNAcentral.